Molecule: ribosomal RNA, 319 nt
Filed under: uncultured Coprococcus sp.
Lineage: Bacteria; Bacillati; Bacillota; Clostridia; Lachnospirales; Lachnospiraceae
Description: partial 16S ribosomal RNA
Source: RNAcentral
GGAGUUUGGGCCGUGUCUCAGUCCCAAUGUGGCCGUUCACCCUCUCAGGCCGGCUACUGAUCGUUGCCUUGGUGGGCCGUUACCUCGCCAACUAGCUAAUCAGACGCGGGUCCAUCUCACACCACCGGAGUUUUUCACACUGUGUCAUGCGGCACUGUGCGCUUAUGCGGUAUUAGCAGUCGUUUCCGACUGUUAUCCCCCUGUGUGAGGCAGGUUACCCACGCGUUACUCACCCGUCCGCCACUCAGUAAGCCUGAGUGCAAGCACUCUGACUUCUUCGUUCAACUUGCAUGUGUUAAGCCUGUAGCUAGCGUUCAUC